GGUAUGCUGCAAUGUUGGUGACUGCCAAUAUUGUUUUUUGAUCUAUACCCUUUUCAUCGGGAACGAUCCCAGGCUGGCAGCAGUAGACCGGGCCAGUACCCGGAAACUUUAACCCAGCACGACAGUUCCCUCCUGGUUUUUACCAGGUCAAAAACUGAGGUAAGACGGCGUUGCGGUUGCCUU
This 183-nucleotide non-coding RNA is filed under the name Neosynechococcus sphagnicola sy1. Its description in RNAcentral is "6S / SsrS RNA". It matches the Rfam family "6S / SsrS RNA". From Rfam's summary of the family: E. coli 6S RNA was the first non coding RNA to be sequenced, but its function was unknown until recently. It consists of 184 nucleotides that fold into an extended hairpin structure with a large single-stranded internal bulge. Lineage: Bacteria; Bacillati; Cyanobacteriota; Cyanophyceae; Neosynechococcales; Neosynechococcaceae. The record is from Rfam by way of RNAcentral.